CACUCCUGCCCAACGCCUGCUCCCACUCCUGCCCCAACGCCUGCUCCAACUCCUGCACCAUCACCUACACCAACACCUGCUCCAACUCCUACCCCAACACCUUCUCCAACCCCUGCACCGUCUCCAGCUCCUACUCCUCCAUCACCAGCUCCAACCCCUGGUGUGUCACCUCCCUCACCUCCUGCUCCACCUCAACCAGAGCCUGAACCUAAACCCAAGCCAGAGCCGGAGCCAUCACCAGCUCCAACCCCCAGUGUGUCACCUCCUUCACCUCCUUCUCCACCUCAACCAGAGCCUGAACCAAAACCCGAGCCAGAGCCGGAGCCAUCUCCGGAGUCAUCACCGGCUCCAACCCCCGAUAUGUCACCUCCCUCACCUCCUGCUCCACCUCAACCAGAGCCUGAACCAAAACCCGAGCCCGAGCCAUCAAUCUCACCGGAUGUUGCACCCAACUCCGAGCAAGAUGUUGAACUUAGCGUUCAAGAGUUCAGCAACUAUGAAGCUAUUCAGAGAUUCGAAUUGCUCUCGAAGCAAACCAAGAGGCCAUUUCUAGCUGUGAAGAAAGGCAAGGUCAAGUCGCCUAAAUUGCCAACCCCUUGGUGAGUUCAAUCAAUCUCCGAAGUUAUGUCGUUCAUAAGGGAUAAGAAAUAACAGAACAUUCCUCUUCUCGUUGUACGUCGUGGGUAGGAACGCGAUGAUUGUGGAAAAUUGCUCAGAAAUAACCCUUGCAAGAGUUUUACUCAUUUGAUUGUCUUUCUAUUGCGAUG
Molecule: long non-coding RNA, 767 nt
Filed under: Physcomitrium patens
Lineage: Eukaryota; Viridiplantae; Streptophyta; Bryopsida; Funariales; Funariaceae
Description: long non-coding RNA (PPAT_LNC014728)
Source: RNAcentral